This is a long non-coding RNA of Panicum virgatum (switchgrass), 1571 nucleotides long. RefSeq lists it as uncharacterized. The transcript has 4 exons. The record is from RefSeq and is a predicted model, not a curated record. Lineage: Eukaryota; Viridiplantae; Streptophyta; Magnoliopsida; Poales; Poaceae.
GAGCUACUUGAGAUGAUGGCUGCCGCCGGAGAGAAGAUGCGCUUUGGGGGUGUCGGCUCCAAGCUAAAAGUGACGCCAUCUUCUUCCCUUUUUUGUUUUACUCAACCCCUCGUGUUCUUGAAGCUUCUGUGCAAACAAUGUAGGAGCUGAACUCCUGGCAACGCUACUGGCUUCGUAGUCUGAUUUUUUUUUCUCAGGAGCAAGAAGCAUAGGGCAAGAAGCAUGGGGCUGUCUACGAGACGCUUGGCGACUCCAAGCAGAAGCUGCAUUAUUUCUCGAGGCGGCAGAUUAGAGCAGAGGGGAUUUGUGGCAGAAGUGGUGGUUACCAACCGAAGACUGCAUGUGCGCAAAUAUUGUUCCCUGCAAUCUUUGGAGGGGGAUAAAAUUCUGGUUGUACAUACACCCGAAGCCCGCCGAUCAGUACAAAGCAUCACACAGCCCCAACAACAACUCAUCCUUCUACGAUUCUGGGAUGUCUCGGGAUGAUGGGUCUUAACUGGAAAUCAAAUGUGAGGUGUGUGUGCCCUGUACUUCUUGGUAUUAUGAUCAAAUUUGAGGUGUGUGCCCUGUGCUUCAAGGCAUUAUGAUCAAAUAAUCGGAAGGCCCUGGUGAUUAUUAGAAAGCAUAUAUAAUUAGGCAUUAUUCCAUGCCAUGUAUAAUUUUUAAUUUGCAUCGUAUGAUAAGAUGCUUGAUUCUUAUGCUAUUGAGAAAACAUGAUUUGCUUUAACCUUAUUUUGAACUAUCAAUCAAAUGUCGUGAUGCAUUUACUGGUAGCAAUUUACUAUGGAAAUGUGCUUCUCUCUUCGCUUGAAGAAGUCAUCAGGUUUCAAUUACUGAGAUUGGUAUCUGUGAGGAAUGCCUGAACUUGGUAGUCAUAUAAACUUGAUUGAGCUUUUUCUAAAAAUAUAGAUUUGGUUGUCAUUUUAAAAUCAUGGCCCACUUUUCCUGUAGCUUUUCAUGCCCAAAGUGAGUAGUAAAUUUGAUGAGACCGUGUAGAUGUUUUGAAAAGAAGUCAGCAUUAUACAUUCUCCUCUUGCUUUUUAUUUCUGAAUCUAAUGUUUGUUUCAUGUGAAUUGUACAUGCAUGGCUAAAUUUAUGUAGUGUAUUUGUGCAAACACCCCUGAUGAUGCAUUGAGAUCUUUUUUCCAGUCAUUGCUCAGAUUACUAAUGUGGGCUCUAACUAUGCACAUCUAUUCGUUUUCCAAUUGAUGGUUGUGGGCGGCAAUAAUAACAAGUGCUACCAUUUAUUCUAUUCUAAUAUGAAAGCCUCAAUUUGUUUCUGCCAUUUCUUCUGUCAGGAGGAAUUCAAACUCAUAAUGCAUUGUAUUAGAUCUUUCACCAGGUUACUCGCAUGUUGGAGCACGCCAUAUUGAAAUAUUGAUCAUGUAAGUUUAUCUCAAUGACGAUGGCAAAUAUUUCAAGUCCUUUAUGUUCUUAUUACAUACUCAGUCUAUGUGCAAAUUGCCUUGGAACUAUAGUUUUGUAUCGAUUACUCGGUUAGACAUUAUGCCUCCAGAACAAUGGCAAGAUUUUCAUGGUGAAAUCCUAACAGGUCUCCACAGUAUUAUGUU